RNAcentral lists this ribosomal RNA (518 nucleotides) under uncultured bacterium. RNAcentral's name for it is "partial 16S ribosomal RNA". It matches the Rfam family "Bacterial small subunit ribosomal RNA", at positions 899 to 1397 of the family's 1533-position model. The record is from RNAcentral.
ACUCAAAGGAAUUGACGGGGGCCCGCACAAGCGGUGGAACAUGUGGUUUAAUUCGAUGCUACGCGAAAAACCUCACCAGGGCUUGACAUACAGGAAGUAGUGAAGUGAAAGCGGAACCACCCGUUAAGUCGGGAGCCUGUACAGGUGCUGCAUGGCUGUCGUCAGCUCGUGUCGUGAGAUGUUGGGUUAAGUCCCGCAACGAGCGCAACCAUUGCCUUUUGUUGCCACCUUGUUUUAUCGAAAGAUGAGAUGAGAGCACUCUAAAGGGACUGCCUGGGAUAACCAGGAGGAAGGUGGAGAUGACGUCAAGUCAGUACGGCCCUUAUGCCCUGGGCUACACACGUGUUACAAUGGUCGAGACAAAGAGUUGCCAACCCGCGAGGGGGAGCUAAUCUCUAAAACUCGGCCUCAGUUCAGAUUGUAGUCUGCAAUUCGACUACAUGAAGCCGGAAUCGCUAGUAAUGGAAGAUCAGCACGCUUCCGUGAAUACGUUCCCGGGCCUUGUACACACCGCCCGU